UUUCGCAUGGCCUGCCUCAGCGUGACCGCCACCAUCUCUUGUCUUUGAGGGAGUGGAUGAGGACGAAGGUGAAGCUCUCCUGGGGUCAUUCAUUUAUGACGUGGACGGAGAGAUCGCCCAGACCUUCCAAGUGCAGGAGGAGCCCCGCAAAGCCUUCCGCCAGAUCAAACUGGAGGUGCGGAGCAACUGGGGAAACAAGGAAUACACCUGCCUGUACAGAGCCGAUGUUCACGGCAACCCAGAAAAGGCAUAAUAGAUACGUAGAACGGAAUAAUUAAAUAAAAAGAUGUUGCCACCUUUC
This is a long non-coding RNA of Gallus gallus (chicken), 301 nucleotides long. RefSeq lists it as uncharacterized. The record is from RefSeq and is a predicted model, not a curated record. The transcript has 2 exons. Lineage: Eukaryota; Metazoa; Chordata; Aves; Galliformes; Phasianidae.